Molecule: ribosomal RNA, 749 nt
Filed under: uncultured Glomerales
Lineage: Eukaryota; Fungi; Glomeromycota; Glomeromycetes; Glomerales; Glomeraceae
Description: LSU rRNA
Rfam family: Eukaryotic large subunit ribosomal RNA
Source: RNAcentral
GCAUAUCAAUAAGCGGAGGAAAAGAAAAUAACAAUGAUUCCCUUAGUAACGGCGAGUGAAGGGGGAUAAGCUCAAAUUUUAAAUCUACCAGGUUAACCUGGUCGAGUUGUAAUUUGAAGAAGCGUCUUCCGCGUCCGGGUCGGCCCAAAUCCUUUGGGAUAAGGUAUCAUGGAGGGUGAGAAUCCCGUUCGGCUGACCUCAGGAUGCUUUACGAUACGCUCUCAAAGAGUCGAGUUGUUUGGGAUUGCAGCUCAAAAUGGGAGGUAAAUUUCUCCUAAGGCUAAAUACCGGCGAGAGACCGAUAGCGAACAAGUACCGUGAGGGAAAGAUGAAAAGAACUUUGAAAAGAGAGUUAAAUAGUACGUGAAAUUGUUGAAAGGGAAACGAUUGAAGUCAGUCGUACCGGCGGGAAAUCAGCUUUUCGAGUGGGGGUUCGCGGGUGCGUGGAGCUUCGGCCUUCGUCGCUUGUGACACCUUUUGCUUCUGGAGCGUACUUUUCCGUGUGGUAGGUCAACAUCGGUUUCGAUUGCCAUAAAAUGACCGGAGGAAUGUGGCUUCGAUCUUGUAUUGGAGUGUUAUAGCCUCUGGUAGAUGUGGUGGUUGGGAUCGAGGAUUGCAACGAAUACCCUUGGGCUAUCCGCCUGACCUCUGAAAAGUCGCUUGGGUACCGAAAGCUUGCUUACGGGUCAUUCAAGUUGGCGGUCAAAAGGUUAAGAACGUGAUUAAAUUUCGUUAAGGAUGUUGACGUA